Non-coding RNA from Megalopta genalis, 1250 nucleotides. The record is from RefSeq and is a predicted model, not a curated record. Lineage: Eukaryota; Metazoa; Arthropoda; Insecta; Hymenoptera; Halictidae.
CUUUUAGAUUUAAAGACAAAUCGAGUGAAAACCAGUCGAGAGAGAGAGAGAUGUAACUUUUCUCGAUAGAAUAACCGAAAAAGAAUCUCCAACUCAUACAGCGUGUGAUGAAGUAAUUCUUUCAAAAAAUACAGAUUUUCAUAAAGAGAUACAAUAAGUACAGCAUCACCAAGAAGAAUCAGAAGCAUCAGAUACGCAAUCAAGUCAAUACUUGGAAAAAGAAAUUAACAAUCGAGCCUUAUAAUUUUAAUGCUGGUUAAAUCUAGGAUCAGUACUCUGAAAUCCAACUUUUAAUCAUGUCUCACCUUGUACGGCCUGCAGAUCUUAGCGUUUUUCCUCCAAUCCUUCUUCUGAUGGUCUUUGCAACAGUAGUAAACACUUUUGCAUGCAUAGCACCUAAGAGUCGUAACCUUACCACAAAUCUCACAAACAGUUUUAGAUUCCAUUGCUCGAGUCGCUAAAAGCUCGUUUUCAGAAAAAGGAAAAUUAAACAAAAAUUUCAUAUGUUCAAUAUGAAGGAUCGCGUGUAACAGACUUUAGUGGGAAAGACGAUUAGUUACGUCAGCACAUAGUAGUGAGACCCUAUUACUUAUUACGGCGAUAGGAGUAUUAAUUUUGAAUUGCUUAUGAAUUUUGAGAUUACCGGUUUUAAUAUAUUCAAUACAAUAAUGAAACCGAAUGUAACAAUAAAGUAUAACACAUAACUAGUGUAACGGAUACUAAGUCGAAUUCAAUGCUUCUUUGCGAGUGUUUUACAGAUUGCGGUUAGUUCGGGCGCUGAACUGUAGUUCCUUGUUGUGUAAAAAACGUAAUGAGUUGCAUUUUUCGAUUGAAUUUUAUACCGUAUAAUCGACAAGUUUUGAUCCAAGUUUUCGUUGUACUGACGAUGAAUAAAGGCUAAUUACCACUCGCGAGAAACUUUUACUACCGCUGCAAUGAAUCCUGCCUAUACCUGUAUCGACAGCGUCAGAAUGGGACCAUUACUCGUCUCCCUUCUCAGAUGGUCCAAAACUGGAACCGAGCUAAAUAGCUAAAAGAUAAAUUUUUUCCUACCGAUGUUUAUCAAACGUUUAGUGCUUUUUAUAUGUCCAUCGCAUUAGAAAACAAUGAAUUCACUGUCCUCACCGUGGGGCGGUUUUAUUUUUGGUAUCUUCUCCCAUUUGACGGCGCUUUCUUAUUCUUUUUUGUAAAACUAUCACGAUUGCAAUCGUCACGGUUUUCCGAUUAAAACAACACCAACCACGAUAUAA